GACGAACGCUGGCGGCGUGCCUAAUACAUGCAAGUAGAACGCUGAAGAGAGGAGCUUGCUCUUCUUGGAUGAGUUGCGUACGGGUGAGUAACGCGUAGGUAACCUGCCUUGUAGCGGGGGAUAACUAUUGGAAACGAUAGCUAAUACCGCAUAACAAUGGAUGACACAUGUCAUUUAUUUGAAAGGGGCAAUUGCUCCACUACAAGAUGGACCUGCGUUGUAUUAGCUAGUAGGUGAGGUAACGGCUCACCUAGGCGACGAUACAUAGCCGACCUGAGAGGGUGAUCGGCCACACUGGGACUGAGACACGGCCCAGACUCCUACGGGAGGCAGCAGUAGGGAAUCUUCGGCAAUGGGGGCAACCCUGACCGAGCAACGCCGCGUGAGUGAAGAAGGUUUUCGGAUCGUAAAGCUCUGUUGUAAGUCAAGAACGAGUGUGAGAGUGGAAAGUUCACACUGUGACGGUAGCUUACCAGAAAGGGACGGCUAACUACGUG
Molecule: ribosomal RNA, 497 nt
Filed under: uncultured bacterium
Lineage: Bacteria
Description: partial 16S ribosomal RNA
Rfam family: Bacterial small subunit ribosomal RNA
Source: RNAcentral